Molecule: ribosomal RNA, 346 nt
Filed under: uncultured bacterium
Lineage: Bacteria
Description: bacterial SSU rRNA
Rfam family: Bacterial small subunit ribosomal RNA
Source: RNAcentral
AGAGUUUGAUCCUGGCUCAGAUUGAACGCUGGCGGCAUGCUUUACACAUGCAAGUCGAACGGCAGCACAGGGAGCUUGCUCCCGGGUGGCGAGUGGCGCACGGGUGAGUAAUACAUCGGAACGUGUCCUGUUGUGGGGGAUAACUGCUCGAAAGGGUGGCUAAUACCGCAUGAGACCUGAGGGUGAAAGCGGGGGAUCGCAAGACCUCGCGCAAUUGGAGCGGCCGAUGCCCGAUUAGCUAGUUGGUGAGGUAAAGGCUCACCAAGGNGACGAUCGGUAGCUGGUCUGAGAGGACGACCAGCACACUGGGACUGAGACACGGCCCAGACUCCUACGGGAGGGAGCA